Papio anubis (olive baboon) is the source of this 117-nucleotide unclassified non-coding RNA. It matches the Rfam family "Metazoan signal recognition particle RNA". Rfam says of the family: The signal recognition particle (SRP) is a universally conserved ribonucleoprotein. Lineage: Eukaryota; Metazoa; Chordata; Mammalia; Primates; Cercopithecidae. The record is from Ensembl.
GCCGGGCAUGGUGGCUCAUGCCUGUAAUCCUAGCACUUUGGGAGGCCGAGGCAGGCGGAUCACCUGAGGUCAGGAGUUCAAGACCAGCCUGGCCAAUAUGGUGAAACCCUGUUUCUA